Molecule: transfer RNA, 73 nt
Filed under: Nitrosopumilaceae archaeon
Lineage: Archaea; Thermoproteati; Nitrososphaerota; Nitrososphaeria; Nitrosopumilales; Nitrosopumilaceae
Description: tRNA-Val
Rfam family: tRNA
About the family: Transfer RNA (tRNA) molecules are approximately 80 nucleotides in length. Their secondary structure includes four short double-helical elements and three loops (D, anti-codon, and T loops). Further hydrogen bonds mediate the characteristic L-shaped molecular structure. tRNAs have two regions of fundamental functional importance: the anti-codon, which is responsible for specific mRNA codon recognition, and the 3' end, to which the tRNAs corresponding amino acid is attached (by aminoacyl-tRNA synthetases). tRNAs cope with the degeneracy of the genetic code in two manners: having more than one tRNA (with a specific anti-codon) for a particular amino acid; and 'wobble' base-pairing, i.e. permitting non-standard base-pairing at the 3rd anti-codon position.
Source: RNAcentral
GGGCCGAUGGUCUAGCUGGUAUGAUAUUGCCUCGACACGGCAAUGAUCGAGAGUUCAAAUCUCUCUCGGCCCA